RNAcentral lists this unclassified non-coding RNA (235 nucleotides) under Hevea brasiliensis (rubber tree). The record is from RNAcentral. Lineage: Eukaryota; Viridiplantae; Streptophyta; Magnoliopsida; Malpighiales; Euphorbiaceae.
UUUUUUUUUUUUUUUCUUCAAUUACGGCAAAUCAGUUUGGCAUGGUGUUUGUUUCUCAUGUAAUCUUUUGAUGAUAAAAAGUAUCCAUGUGCUGUAUGGACGUUAUGCAUAUUACAUAGAGAUAAUUGAUAUCUAUGUAUAUGAAUAUGAUAUAAAAAAUUAAUCUAUCUCUGUUAAGCCUUUAUCUUUUCAUUGUAAAACUUUGUUGGCAUAUUGAUGCAAUUAAGGAGGGAGG